RNAcentral lists this ribosomal RNA (253 nucleotides) under uncultured bacterium. RNAcentral's name for it is "partial 16S ribosomal RNA". It matches the Rfam family "Bacterial small subunit ribosomal RNA", at positions 524 to 776 of the family's 1533-position model. The record is from RNAcentral.
UACGUAGGGUGCAAGCGUUGUCCGGAAUUAUUGGGCGUAAAGAGCUCGUAGGCGGUUUGUCGCGUCUGGUGUGAAAAUCCAGGGCUUAACCCUGGACCUGCAUCGGGUACGGGCAGACUAGAGUGCGGUAGGGGAGAUCGGAAUUCCUGGUGUAGCGGUGAAAUGCGUAGAUAUUGGGAGGAACACCAGUGGCGAAGGCGGCUCACUGGACCGGUACUGACGCUGAGGCGCGAAAGCGUGGGGAGCAAACAGG